GCAACUUGACUCAUCAUCACAAGCUUCAGAUUCAAGUUUAAGAUAGGAAUGAGAAGACCUAUUAAAACAGCUGCAGGGACAGAGUCAGAGCAAGAAAUACUACUGAUCCACCAAUCAGAGGCAGUUCAACAAGGAAGAACAGCCUGAUAGAAGAGGCAGGAAAAGACAGGAUCAGCAAGACAGGGGCCAGUGAAGAUAUUAACCCCACCUACAAUUUCUCCCAGCUAUCCAGACCAGCCAGAGGUGGACAGAGUGGAAAACAUGUACCUGUUCAUCAAGGAUAAGAAUCUGGGACACCAAGAUGUCUUUACUUAUAAAGGAUUUUGACUUUGAUUUGAAACCUCACCAAGAAUGAAGAAAUUGAAGGACGAGAGGAGUUGAAGGAAGAUGGAAACAGCAGGCUGAGUGAACCUUCUGAUUUAAAAAGAUUUUACGAUGAGGACAAGCGGCCCUAGAUGUCCACCUCAUCUGCUGCAGCAGCAGCAUCAUCAGAGACCGUUUGCUGUCCUGAAGAUCAUCAGGACAAGUGGGAUUCAAACUCAUUUCCAGGGGAGAUUGGGACCUGAAUACAGCCUUCAAAGGUUUAAAAAAUGUGUAAUUAAUGAGAAAGAAAGAAAGACACAAAGUUUAUGCAUUAUUUGAUAAAAGUGCUUGCUAAAUGUUUAUGACCUGGUUUGACACUGAAAAUGAUGAUAUAGGAAUUCCUCAAAGAGCUCCUGAGUUGAGUAAGUGGUGUCAAAAUGUACCAACCUCAUUGCCUACAUCAGUAAACCAGACGGAAAUGAUUUUAUUCUGUUAAGUGGCUGCGUUCUUGAACACACUGUGUUUUUUUUACAGCACUAAUAUCAUCUCAGCUGGAUAUUUUCUCAAAACUGAAUGGAAAAUAAAAGAAUUAUUUGCAAGACUAAAACUACAUUAAACAGCGUUUUUAAAUAAAAGUAAAAUAGUGACAAACUGGCAACUUGUUU
Xiphias gladius (swordfish) is the source of this 968-nucleotide long non-coding RNA. RefSeq lists it as uncharacterized. The transcript is spliced from 3 exons. The record is from RefSeq and is a predicted model, not a curated record. Lineage: Eukaryota; Metazoa; Chordata; Actinopteri; Istiophoriformes; Xiphiidae.